Molecule: non-coding RNA, 254 nt
Filed under: uncultured bacterium
Lineage: Bacteria
Also listed under: 2 other names
Description: partial 16S ribosomal RNA
Rfam family: Bacterial small subunit ribosomal RNA
Source: RNAcentral
UACGGGGGGAGCAAGCGUUGUUCGGAUUUACUGGGCGUAAAGGGCGCGUAGGCGGUCAGCACAAGUCAGUUGUGAAAUCUCCGGGCUUAACUCGGAAAGGUCAACUGAUACUGUGCGACUAGAGUGCAGAAGGGGCAACUGGAAUUCUCGGUGUAGCGGUGAAAUGCGUAGAUAUCGAGAGGAACACCUGCGGCGAAGGCGGGUUGCUGGGCUGACACUGACGCUGAGGCGCGAAAGCCAGGGGAGCGAACGGG